CGGGGUGCUGCACCAGUGGGGAAUAUUGCACAAUGGGCGCAAGCCUGAUGCAGCCAUGCCGCGUGUAUGAAGAAGGCCUUCGGGUUGUAAAGUACUUUCAGCGGGGAGGAAGGGAGUAAAGUUAAUACCUUUGCUCAUUGACGUUACCCGCAGAAGAAGCACCGGCUAACUCCGUGCCAGCAGCCGCGGUAAUACGGAGGGUGCAAGCGUUAAUCGGAAUUACUGGGCGUAAAGCGCACGCAGGCGGUUUGUUAAGUCAGAUGUGAAAUCCCCGGGCUCAACCUGGGAACUGCAUCUGAUACUGGCAAGCUUGAGUCUCGUAGAGGGGGGUAGAAUUCCAGGUGUAGCGGUGAAAUGCGUAGAGAUCUGGAGGAAUACCGGUGGCGGAGGCGGCCCCCUGGACGAAGACUGACGCUCAGGUGCGAAAGCGUGGGGAGCAAACAGGAUUAGAUACCCCGGUAGUC
This 464-nucleotide ribosomal RNA is filed under the name uncultured bacterium. RNAcentral describes it as "partial 16S ribosomal RNA". It matches the Rfam family "Bacterial small subunit ribosomal RNA", at positions 342 to 795 of the family's 1533-position model. The record is from RNAcentral.